GAUGAACGCUGGCGGCGUGCCUAAUACAUGCAAGUCGAGCGAACAGACGAGGAGCUUGCUCCUCUGACGUUAGCGGCGGACGGGUGAGUAACACGUGGAUAACCUACCUAUAAGACUGGGAUAACUUCGGGAAACCGGAGCUAAUACCGGAUAAUAUAUUGAACCGCAUGGUUCAAUAGUGAAAGACGGUUUUGCUGUCACUUAUAGAUGGAUCCGCGCCGCAUUAGCUAGUUGGUAAGGUAACGGCUUACCAAGGCAACGAUGCGUAGCCGACCUGAGAGGGGGAUCGGCCACACUGGAACUGAGACACGGUCCAGACUCCUACGGGAGGCAGCAGUAGGGAAUCUUCCGCAAUGGGCGAAAGCUUGACGGAGCAACGCCGCGUGAGUGAUGAAGGUCUUCGGAGCGUAAAACUCUGUUAUUAGGGAAGAACAAAUGUGUAAGUAACUAUGCACGUCUUGACGGUACCUAAUCAGAAAGCCACGGCUAACUACGUG
This 497-nucleotide ribosomal RNA is filed under the name uncultured bacterium. RNAcentral's name for it is "partial 16S ribosomal RNA". It matches the Rfam family "Bacterial small subunit ribosomal RNA", at positions 28 to 507 of the family's 1533-position model. The record is from RNAcentral.